UGUUAAAAUUCUCAUCCAUUUAUAUUGUUAAAAACUGGCAUGACUGACAGAAUAAUCAAAUAGUGACAAGUGGAGAGCCACAUAAACCUCAUAUUGAUAUUCAAUGAUCAAUUUCUAAUAAUAGAAAUAGAUGAAAUUUUUAACA
Molecule: non-coding RNA, 145 nt
Organism: Gossypium hirsutum (cotton)
Lineage: Eukaryota; Viridiplantae; Streptophyta; Magnoliopsida; Malvales; Malvaceae
Source: Rfam